GGUGACUGUGCUGAGCAAGGCGCAGAAGGAUGCCAGCUGCAGAGAGAGCCCUGCCCAUGUUGCUAUGGUGCAGGAUCUCCAAGCCGCUCUUUCCUACACACUGAGCCCACCCCGGGGGGGGCGGCUGAGUGAUGGGACAAGAGACAUCCUCCACCUACUGGCUAGGCAGCACACUAAGACUGCAGUCAACAUCCUCCUGAAGAUGCCCUGGCCUUACAAACACCACAUCAAGGCCAUCUGGAGGUUCCUGGGUGCAGACCCCAUGCUAACAAGAGAGGUACUCCACAUCCUGCUGUAUGACAGCCCGGAGAAGGGCUGGGCUAACCCAGGACAGACCCAGGACAGGAACUGCCCCCAGCCAGCCCGGCUGCCCCCGGCAGUAAGUUCCCAUCACUGGCAUUCAGCCCCCUUUCCUGGCUCCAUUCUGCACACAGCCACGGUCUUCUGA
Molecule: long non-coding RNA, 448 nt
Filed under: Gopherus agassizii (Agassiz's desert tortoise)
Lineage: Eukaryota; Metazoa; Chordata; Testudines; Testudinidae
Description: lncRNA (ENSGAGG00000006112.1)
Source: RNAcentral